This 253-nucleotide unclassified non-coding RNA is filed under the name Patescibacteria group bacterium. RNAcentral's name for it is "contains 16S-23S intergenic spacer region". It matches the Rfam family "Bacterial small subunit ribosomal RNA", at positions 524 to 776 of the family's 1533-position model. The record is from RNAcentral.
UACGAGGGCCUCAAGCGUUAUCCGGAAUUAUUGGGCGUAAAGCGUCCGCAGGCUGUUUAGUAAGUUGUGGGUUAAAUUUCAGGGCUCAACUCUGAAACUGCUUGCAAAACUGCUCAACUAGAGGCAGGGAGAGGUGAGUAGAAUUACCGGUGUAGUAGUCAAAUGCGUUAAUAUCGGUAGGAAUACCAAAUGCGAAAGCAUCUCACUGGAACUGUCCUGACGCUCAGGGACGAAAGCGUGGGUAGCGAAUGGG